Molecule: long non-coding RNA, 394 nt
Filed under: Prunus dulcis (almond)
Lineage: Eukaryota; Viridiplantae; Streptophyta; Magnoliopsida; Rosales; Rosaceae
Description: sRNA ncRNA
Source: RNAcentral
CUAUGCUCAUGCUGGGCCACGUAGCAGCAUUGGCCGAGGCCACGGAGGAGGAGGUGGGCGUCUUUUUAAUGAUUUGAAGAAGGCCAUAAAAAAAAAAAAAAAAAUCUGAUAACCAAUUUAAUGCUAGGUAGGGGUACAGCGAGCAACUGGGUACUAUCAGUGUCACCGGUUCUCUAAUCGGUGUCUCUGAUAGUGUGGGUGAUGGUGGGCUCAUUAUCGCAUAACACAUACAAGUUGUGGGGCAUUGGCAAUGGGCAAUGGGCAAUGGGCAAUGGGCAUUGGAAUGUGUGGGUGUUGGUUUCAUUUCUGUUGGGAGGAAGGAAGAAGCAAACUCAGCAGAGCAGGUAAUCGAUUUGUUUCAUUGUGGUUCUGUGUGGUUUAUGUCUUGUUUAAA